RNAcentral lists this ribosomal RNA (170 nucleotides) under fungal sp. 5DI12-5B. RNAcentral's name for it is "5.8S ribosomal RNA". It matches the Rfam family "5.8S ribosomal RNA". From Rfam's summary of the family: 5.8S ribosomal RNA (5.8S rRNA) is a component of the large subunit of the eukaryotic ribosome. It is transcribed by RNA polymerase I as part of the 45S precursor that also contains 18S and 28S rRNA. RNAcentral also lists the same sequence under 1 other name. The record is from RNAcentral. Lineage: Eukaryota; Fungi.
AAAUCACAACCGGUAGCGUUGGAUCCCUUGGCACGUUGAUCGAUGAAGACCGUUGCAAACUGCGAUAAGUGGUGUGAUGCGCAAGUCUAAAACUUAUAAGUGAAUCAUCGAAUCGUUGAACGCACGACACCGGCUCUAUCCGAGYAGGUAUGCCCCUUUGAGCGCCAUUA